RNAcentral lists this transfer RNA (75 nucleotides) under archaeon CG10_big_fil_rev_8_21_14_0_10_43_11. RNAcentral describes it as "tRNA-Lys". It matches the Rfam family "tRNA". Rfam says of the family: Transfer RNA (tRNA) molecules are approximately 80 nucleotides in length. Their secondary structure includes four short double-helical elements and three loops (D, anti-codon, and T loops). The record is from RNAcentral.
GGGCUCAUAGCUCAGCCUGGCUAGAGCGACCGGCUCUUAACCGGUAGGUCGGGGGUUCAAAUCCCUCUGGGCCCA